Molecule: ribosomal RNA, 264 nt
Filed under: uncultured bacterium
Lineage: Bacteria
Description: partial 16S ribosomal RNA
Rfam family: Bacterial small subunit ribosomal RNA
Source: RNAcentral
GUCCACGCCCUAAACGAUGUCUACUAGUUGUCGGGUCUUAAUUGACUUGGUAACGCAGCUAACGCGUGAAGUAGACCGCCUGGGGAGUACGGUCGCAAGAUUAAAACUCAAAGGAAUUGACGGGGACCCGCACAAGCGGUGGAUGAUGUGGAUUAAUUCGAUGCAACGCGAAAAACCUUACCUACCCUUGACAUGGACGGAAUCCCGGAGAGAUCUGGGAGUGCUCGAAAGAGAACCGUUACACAGGUGCUGCAUGGCUGUCGU